UUAGUGGCGGACGGGUGAGUAACGCGUGGAUAACCUGCCGUAUACCGGGGGAGUAACACUUAGAAAUAGGUGCUAAUACCGCAUAAGCGCACGGCUCCGCAUGGGGCAGUGUGAAAAACUCCGGUGGUAUACGAUGGAUCCGCGUCUGAUUAGCUAGUUGGCGGGGUAACGGCCCACCAAGGCAGCGAUCAGUAGCCGGCCUGAGAGGGUGGACGGCCACAUUGGGACUGAGACACGGCCCAAACUCCUACGGGAGGCAGCAG
This 263-nucleotide ribosomal RNA is filed under the name uncultured bacterium. Its description in RNAcentral is "partial 16S ribosomal RNA". It matches the Rfam family "Bacterial small subunit ribosomal RNA", at positions 92 to 354 of the family's 1533-position model. The record is from RNAcentral.